AGAUAACGACUUCCAGAUGGAGCAAGACGUCUGCAAGAGGAAACGCAGCGACAGUUUAGUUGUAUGGCACCAAACACCUGUCGAUGUGAGUUAGGCUGGGGUUGACUCCAACUACAUCAGUGGAAACAGAAGAAGAGGAACAUGGCUGACAUGAUGGUGAACAAUGAGGAGAACCAUCAGAACAACAACUCAUCUCCUUCAGGAGGAAGCAGCUACCAGCAGAGAUGGCAAAGCUCCAAGGAGAGUUGAGGCAAACAAAAGAAAAAUAAAUGCUGUUUCCUCUCAAUGAA
This is a long non-coding RNA of Poecilia reticulata (guppy), 290 nucleotides long. RefSeq lists it as uncharacterized. The record is from RefSeq and is a predicted model, not a curated record. NCBI's taxonomy places the organism in Eukaryota, Metazoa, Chordata, Actinopteri, Cyprinodontiformes, Poeciliidae.